AUUGAACGCUGGCGGCAUGCCUUACACAUGCAAGUCGAACGGCAGCACGGGUGCUUGCACCUGGUGGCGAGUGGCGAACGGGUGAGUAAUACAUCGGAACAUGUCCUGUAGUGGGGGAUAGCCCGGCGAAAGCCGGAUUAAUACCGCAUACGAUCUACGGAUGAAAGCGGGGGACCUUCGGGCCUCGCGCUAUAGGGUUGGCCGAUGGCUGAUUAGCUAGUUGGUGGGGUAAAGGCCUACCAAGGCGACGAUCAGUAGCUGGUCUGAGAGGACGAUCAGCCACACUGGGACUGAGACACGGCCCAGACUCCUACGGGAGGCAGCAGUGGGGAAUUUUGGACAAAGGGCGAAAGCCUGAUCCAGCAAUGCCGCGUGUGUGAAGAAGGCCUUCGGGUUGUAAAGCACUUUUGUCCGGAAAGAAAUCCUUGGCCCUAAUACGGUCGGGGGAUGACGGUACCGGAAGAAUAAGCACCGGCUAACUACGUG
This 486-nucleotide ribosomal RNA is filed under the name uncultured bacterium. RNAcentral's name for it is "partial 16S ribosomal RNA". It matches the Rfam family "Bacterial small subunit ribosomal RNA", at positions 30 to 507 of the family's 1533-position model. The record is from RNAcentral.